AGAGGAAAAAUACCGCAGGUCGGAAUUCAGCGGUGGCAACUCAGCAUCCGAUCUUGGUCUAUUCUUAAAUUAGCAAGAAAAACCUAAAACUGGAGGAUGAUACAAUUGUUUCUUGUUACUAGUUUUGUAAACAAAGGGUAAAUUGGUAAAAUGAAACAACGUACACAUGACCUAUUACUUUAGAUCAAUUUUUUAACUAGUGAAGAUUCAUUCCAUAAUCUUCAGCUUCCCAGGCAGACACCCAUCCACAAAGUCAUGGGUGAUAGAUGUUAUUCACAGUAGGCACGACUGUGUUGUAAAUUGUUAUCACUUUUACAAAGCCAAACAGCAGAUUUAGAUCAUGUGUCUACUGUGAAAGAGAUCAUGUGUCUCAACGGAAAUGGAUCUCUCUGUUUGCGAAAUCAGACUUCCCCAGUGUGUCAUUCUGAUUCAGAGCUAUUGAAAUCAAGUUGAACGUUUUGAAACAUCUCAGGCCAAAGCUGAAGCUCUAGGUCUGUAAUUGUAAAUUAAUUGACUGUUAAAUGUUAAAGUGAUUGACUAAAUGCCGACUCUAUGAUUUCCAUGCAAAAUGAGUGUUAUAAAUCCAAGGAGAUCUGGUGAGCAGGUUGCAACAGACUAUGUCAUGUCAAACCAUUAGCUGAAUACAAUGAAUACCAUCAGUUCCCCAAAUGAGAGGUUAAUAAUCAUACGGAGUCAAAAGAGGCAUCAAGUUUAACGAGAUUUUAAAAUGAUAACAGUUGGAAGCGCAUUUGGAAAUUUCGAAGAACGCUACCUAAACGUUACCUUUAGUCGCUGAUUCAUCUCGAAGAUAAAAUAAGUUAUUUUUAUAAAUUGAAGUGCAUAUCUGGGCUCCCUUCUUUUCUGUGGCCCCGUUUCCCCUUGACUUGUGAUAAGCCCGUUGGGGGUCAUGCCCCUACUGUGAUCA
Long non-coding RNA from Daphnia magna, 925 nucleotides. RefSeq lists it as uncharacterized. Lineage: Eukaryota; Metazoa; Arthropoda; Branchiopoda; Diplostraca; Daphniidae. The transcript has 3 exons. The record is from RefSeq and is a predicted model, not a curated record.